RNAcentral lists this ribosomal RNA (479 nucleotides) under uncultured anaerobic ammonium-oxidizing bacterium. RNAcentral describes it as "bacterial SSU rRNA". It matches the Rfam family "Bacterial small subunit ribosomal RNA", at positions 364 to 833 of the family's 1533-position model. The record is from RNAcentral.
UUUCGCAAUGCCCGAAAGGGUGACGAAGCGACGCCGCGUGUGGGAAGAAGGCCUUCGGGUUGUAAACCACUGUCGGGAGUUAGGAAAUGCAAGAGCGUUAAUAGCGAACUUGCUUGACUAAGGCUCCAGAGGAAGCCACGGCUAACUCUGUGCCAGCAGCCGCGGUAAUACAGAGGCGGCAAGCGUUGUUCGGAAUUAUUGGGCGUAAAGAGCACGUAGGCGGCUAUGUAAGUCGGUUGUGAAAGCCUUCCGCUUAACGGGAGAACGGCAUCUGAUACUACAGGGCUUGAGUACGGGAGGGGAGAGUGGAACUUCUGGUGGAGCGGUGAAAUGCGUAGAUAUCAGAAGGAACGCCGGCGGCGAAAGCGACUCUCUGGCCCGAAACUGACGCUGAGUGUGCGAAAGCUAGGGGAGCAAACGGGAUUAGAUACCCCGGUAGUCCUAGCCGUAAACGAUGGGCACUAAGUAGAGGGGUUUUA